CUAAUUAAUAUUCGGCAAAUCCCGACAGAAAGGCAAAAAAAUUGAAUUUCACCCAGUGUGAAAUGGAAGUUCUUGUAGGGGAGGUUGAUGCAAGAACGAAAAUAUUGUUUGGUCGACACUAUAAAUACCAAAAAGGCGUUAGCGUCCAACCACAUGCUGCCACUGUCUAUGCUGCUGGCUCAGAAUGUCAGACCCUCUCAGAAAUAAAAAAGUGGUCCGACAUAAAAGUGGAGGCCAAAAGGCGCAUAGCCUUACACAGACAAAGUGUUUGUGCCACCGGAAAUCAAGCGACUUGCUGUAUUAUAGGGGGAUCCCUCCUGAGUUGAGUAGUGACGGAGAGGGACACGGACAUGCAAGACGCACCGGAGGAUCCAGCUGAGCAGGAGCUGAGUGCGCCCAGCCCCGGGGUCUCCACUGCACCUCACAACUCUCCAGCGGUCGUGUCCUCACAGAUGCAAUCCUACAAAUGCAAAGAGACACCAUCGACGCUAUUAACGAGGUUGCCAGGAGUUGAAGUGGGACAGGCAUGGCUUGUUUUCUGCGGGUGUUUCUCUGUAAAGCUGGGCCCCAUUACAGCAGAGAGAUCCAAGAGAACAUCUCUUGGUAAUCGGAACUGGCUCAUACGCCACUCAUCAUUGGCCAGUAAAUCUUGCUGGUCUCUGAAAAUUCGCUCUCUCCGAAUUCUUCCAUUCGCCAAAGCACCCAUUUUGCGUCAUUACGUAUUGUAAUUGCAUGCCUUUUUUAUACCCACCCAUUUGAUUGUCAAAGCUUACCAAUUGCGUAACACCUUCAGGUGUGGUAAUUACCCUGAUUGUAACUGACAAUGACAGGGCCAUUGUCACAUUGACAGUUCUGCGCAACGAACAUGAGAGAACAAUACAUGAAACUGCACUGCUAUCUGCCCGACUGAGGCGUCUAAAACGGCAUCAGUUUAAACGUAAUUUGUCCUACUGUUCACCUUAUUAUUUAUGAGAAUACAUUUCAUAACAUGCAAGUACUGUUUAAUAAUUACAGAUCCAAUUAAAUGAUUCCCGAUUAAACUGUACAACAUA
This is a non-coding RNA of Salvelinus sp. IW2-2015, 1052 nucleotides long. NCBI's taxonomy places the organism in Eukaryota, Metazoa, Chordata, Actinopteri, Salmoniformes, Salmonidae. The record is from RefSeq and is a predicted model, not a curated record.